GAUCUCAAAUCAGGUAGGACUACCCGCUGAACUUAAGCAUAUCAAUAAGCGGAGGAAAAGAAACUAACAAGGAUUCCCCUAGUAACUGCGAGUGAAGCGGGAAGAGCUCAAAUUUAAAAUCUGGCGUGCCUCUGGUCGUCCGAGUUGUAGUCUGGAGAAGCGUUUUCCGUGUUGGACCGUGUACAAGUCUCUUGGAACAGGGCGUCAUAGAGGGUGAGAAUCCCGUCUUUGACACGGACUACCAACGCUUUGUGAUGCGCUCUCAAAGAGUCGAGUUGUUUGGGAAUGCAGCUCAAAAUGGGUGGUAAAUUCCAUCUAAAGCUAAAUAUAGGCGAGAGACCGAUAGCGAACAAGUACCGUGAGGGAAAGAUGAAAAGCACUUUGGAAAGAGAGUUAAACAGUACGUGAAAUUGCUGAAAGGGAAACGCUUGAAGUCAGUCGUGUCUGCCGGGACUCAGCCUUGCUUCUGCUUGGUGUACUUUCCGGUCGGACAGGCCAACAUCAAUUUUGACCGUUGGAGAAAGGCUUUGGGAAUGUGGCACCUUCGGGUGUGUUAUAGCCCUUUGUCGUAUACAACGGUUGGGAUUGAGGACCGCAGCACGCCUUUAUGGCC
RNAcentral lists this ribosomal RNA (613 nucleotides) under uncultured fungus. Its description in RNAcentral is "eukaryotic LSU rRNA". It matches the Rfam family "Eukaryotic large subunit ribosomal RNA", at positions 1 to 615 of the family's 3401-position model. Lineage: Eukaryota; Fungi. The record is from RNAcentral.